AGUAUGAAGAACUACACUAAUGAAAGAAUCUAUGACCUUAUAAGCCUACAUGUUGUCAGCAGAAGAGAAGGUCAUGAGCAAAGUGAUGCAAUGGUUGUGAAAGGACUACGUUGACACAACGUUAAGCAAUGGCCAUGGGCAGCUUCAGUGACCAUAGACAAAGCAGAACAAACCUACAGGGAUGACCUCUGACUCAGUGUCGAGUUUUAGCUCAGGCGAGUGCCAACGGGAUUAUCCAUUUGCUGGAUCUUAAAUCUGGGCAAAUUCACAAACUGGUGGGCCAUGAGAGUGAAGUGCACACUGUGAUAUUUUCCCACCGUGCAGAGAAUCUGUACUCUGGUGGUUCUGACGGCACCAUUCGGUUGUGGCUCUGAUCAGCAAAAGCAUACCCUGAUGCAAAGGGCAUUCCCUCCACAGCUCAAAAAUGCUCCAUACAGUCUGCUUACAAGCCAGCAACUAGCUGGAUAUAACGACCAAUAAAUAAAAUAUUUGUUUUGAAACAAGCUUUGGGUGAAUACUAUAUAACCCCUACUGUUACAAAUAAAAAUUAUAACUUUUUCUUC
RNAcentral lists this long non-coding RNA (563 nucleotides) under Rattus norvegicus (Norway rat). Its description in RNAcentral is "long non-coding RNA NONRATT029479". Lineage: Eukaryota; Metazoa; Chordata; Mammalia; Rodentia; Muridae. The record is from RNAcentral.